This 97-nucleotide transfer RNA is filed under the name Thelazia callipaeda (thelaziosis nematode). It matches the Rfam family "tRNA". Rfam says of the family: Transfer RNA (tRNA) molecules are approximately 80 nucleotides in length. Their secondary structure includes four short double-helical elements and three loops (D, anti-codon, and T loops). The record is from Rfam by way of RNAcentral. Lineage: Eukaryota; Metazoa; Nematoda; Chromadorea; Rhabditida; Thelaziidae.
GCUCCCGUGGCCUAAUGGAUAAGGCGUUGGUCUCCUAAGUCAAAAUUUCUUGGAAAGGAGUGAACCAACGAUGGGGGUUCAAGUCCCCCCGGGAGCC